This 468-nucleotide ribosomal RNA is filed under the name uncultured bacterium. RNAcentral describes it as "partial 16S ribosomal RNA". It matches the Rfam family "Bacterial small subunit ribosomal RNA", at positions 28 to 507 of the family's 1533-position model. The record is from RNAcentral.
GACGAACGCUGGCGGCGUGCUUAACACAUGCAAGUCGAACGGAAAGGCCCUGCUUUUGUGGGGUGCUCGAGUGGCGAACGGGUGAGUAACACGUGAGUAACCUGCCCUUGACUUUGGGAUAACUUCAGGAAACUGGGGCUAAUACCGGAUAGGAGCUCCUGCUGCAUGGUGGGGGUUGGAAAGUUUCGGCGGUUGGGGAUGGACUCGCGGCUUAUCAGCUUGUUGGUGGGGUAGUGGCUUACCAAGGCUUUGACGGGUAGCUGGCCUGAGAGGGUGACCGGCCACAUUGGGACUGAGAUACGGCCCAGACUCCUGCGGGAGGCAGCAGUGGGGAAUAUUGCACAAUGGGCGGAAGCCUGAUGCAGCAACGCCGCGUGCGGGAUGACGGCCUUCGGGUUGUAAACCGCUUUCGCCUGUGACGAAGCGUGAGUGACGGUAAUGGGUAAAGAAGCACCGGCUAACUACGUG